GGAGUUUGGACCGUGUCUCAGUUCCAAUGUGGGGGACCUUCCUCUCAGAACCCCUACUGAUCGUCGCCUUGGUGGGCCGUUACCCCGCCAACAAGCUAAUCAGACGCAUCCCCAUCCCUUGGCGUCAAACUUUAGUGCUCGUCAGAUGUCCUCAAAGCACAACAUAGGGUGUUAAUCCGCAUUUCUACGGGCUAUGCCCUACCAGGGGGAAGGUUGGAUACGCGUUACUCACCCGUGCGCCGGUCGCCAUCAGGAAUUGCAAGCAACUCCCAUGCUGCCCCUCGACUUGCAUGUGUUAAGCCUGUAGCUAGCGUUCAUC
RNAcentral lists this ribosomal RNA (319 nucleotides) under uncultured Prevotella sp. RNAcentral describes it as "partial 16S ribosomal RNA". The record is from RNAcentral. Lineage: Bacteria; Pseudomonadati; Bacteroidota; Bacteroidia; Bacteroidales; Prevotellaceae.